Long non-coding RNA from Hibiscus syriacus, 725 nucleotides. RefSeq lists it as uncharacterized. The transcript is spliced from 5 exons. The record is from RefSeq and is a predicted model, not a curated record. NCBI's taxonomy places the organism in Eukaryota, Viridiplantae, Streptophyta, Magnoliopsida, Malvales, Malvaceae.
CCCAAUCCUACCCUUUCAAUUGCUCCACCACUUUUACAAUUUAGAAAGGUCUUUGGAAACCCUAAAACAUUAAAUUUACUCAUCAUGGAAGGACGAAUGGCGUCACUGACGGUCACCUUUUACUCUCUAGUCUCCAUUAUCGUCUCGCUGAUCUCUCUCGGUCGUGAUCGUCACUCACGGAAUCUCAUUGCUUUCGUGCUGGGAACCUUUUCAAAGUAUACGGGGCUCUGAUAUUUGCUCAGCGCAAGGAUGAUGAAGAACGAAAUAGGAUGGAUUUCUUCAAGGCAACUCAUUAUUCAAAUGACAAAGGAUGGACAACAUCUGAGGCACAAGCAAAACAUGAGAAAAUGGUAGAGUUGCAAUCAAAUCCAGCUGAAGAAGGAGUAGAACCUAAGAAUAUUGAUGAUAUAAUGGAUGAGGUACUUGGUACUAGACCAUGAUACAUUCUGGGGCUUGGAUAUGGGCCAAAGCCUAAGAAAACAAAUUCAAGUGCAUAUACAAUCAAGUUAAAAAAAGAGUUUGAAGAAUAAAAAAGAUGAAUUUAAUAACUAUAAGUCAAAUUUUGAAUUGAUUCAAACUCAAAUGGAAGCUAUGAGAUCUGCUUUGUUAGCUGUUGGAAUUCAAGUGACAUCACUUCAAUUUUCAGCUUCAAAUGAUACCACAAACUCAACAUCAACAGAAUCACAAUCGACUCAAGGUUUGGAUUGAGAUUGCUACAAUGAAAU